This is a long non-coding RNA of Egretta garzetta (little egret), 680 nucleotides long. RefSeq lists it as uncharacterized. The transcript is spliced from 3 exons. Lineage: Eukaryota; Metazoa; Chordata; Aves; Pelecaniformes; Ardeidae. The record is from RefSeq and is a predicted model, not a curated record.
UCGGCCUCCUGAGGAGCGAUCCCUCGCUGGAAAGGGUGGUCGCUCAGGCAGGUCUGGCACAGCGGAGGCUCCAGCUCCGAAUCCCCUGGAGCUCCCGACCUGGCGCACUAGGGCAGGAAGGACACUAUUUACAAGUGUAAUACGCUGUGCUUGCAGGGCGCGAUGUCAGCCUUGUGCGCUUCAUUUGCUCUUCCUUCACUUCUGUGACUGCCUGUUUUCUGCCACGUGAAUCAAAAGUAUUGGAUUUUCUAACAAGUGGAAGUCCAUAUCGCAGCAACUGGUUACCAGGAUCACGUACGACAAACAAACAGAAUGGGAACGUAUCUAACCAGCCUUUGGCUGGUGACUCCUCCGUGAGCGAUACACCCGCAAUUGCCCCGCUGUGCUGACCCGCCGGAAAUCGCAAGGUCAGGACAUUUUUUUCUCUCCUCUCUAUGGAAACCAAGCAAACAGAUGUCCUUCGGUGAGCAAAUGAGCCGCUUCCCACUGCAUUCCCCAUUUGCGUUUUUUAGCAGCAUCAGUUCACGUGGAUGAUGUUAGCCCCUGCUCCUCUCUUCUGGAGCACCCCUACAACGUCCGCCCCCCUUUUGCUUGCUACAGCUCCUGGCUGCCGUAGCGGGCAGGUGCCCUGUCUGCGUGCUUUUGGAACACAUUUUACAGCAGUGAAACCCAAGUGCUUA